RNAcentral lists this ribosomal RNA (433 nucleotides) under uncultured bacterium. RNAcentral's name for it is "partial 16S ribosomal RNA". It matches the Rfam family "Bacterial small subunit ribosomal RNA", at positions 29 to 507 of the family's 1533-position model. The record is from RNAcentral.
AACGAACGCUGGCGGCAGGCUUAACACAUGCAAGUCGAGCGCAUCCUUCGUGGUGAGCUGCGGUCGGGUGUGGAACGCGGGGGAACGUGCCCUCUUCUACGGGAUAGCCUCGUUACGCUGAGAGUAAUGCCGUAUACGCCCGCCAGGUGAAAGAUUGAUCGUAGGAGGAUGGGCCGGCGUUGGAUUAGGUAGGUGGUGGGGUAAGGGCCUAUCACGGCGACGUUCCAUAGCGGGGUUGAGAGGCUGAUCAGCCACACUGGGACUGAGACACGGCCCAGACUAUUACGGGAGGCAGGAGUGGCGAAUCUUGCAAAACCGGGGCAAUCCUGAUGCCGCCAUGGUUCGUGAGCGAUGAAGGUCUUAGAGUUGUAAAGAACUUUAAGCUGCGAAGAUAAUGACGGUACCAGAAGAAGAAGCCCCGGCUAACUCCGUG